RNAcentral lists this ribosomal RNA (301 nucleotides) under uncultured bacterium. RNAcentral describes it as "partial 16S ribosomal RNA". It matches the Rfam family "Bacterial small subunit ribosomal RNA", at positions 509 to 807 of the family's 1533-position model. The record is from RNAcentral.
CAGCCGCCGCGGUAAUACGGAGGGGGCUAGCGUUGUUCGGAAUUACUGGGCGUAAAGCGUACGUAGACGGCUUUGUAAGUUAGAGGUGAAAGCCUGGAGCUCAACUCCAGAAUUGCCUUUAAGACUGCAUCGCUUGAACGUCGGAGAGGUGAGUGGAAUUCCGAGUGUAGAGGUGAAAUUCGUAGAUAUUCGGAAGAGCGCCAGUGGCGAAGGCGGCUCACUGGACGACUGUUGACGCUGAGGUACGAAAGCGUGGGGAGCAAACAGGAUUAGAUACCCCAGUAGUCCCUGUCUCUUAUAC